This is a long non-coding RNA of Lycium barbarum (goji berry), 1477 nucleotides long. RefSeq lists it as uncharacterized. The record is from RefSeq and is a predicted model, not a curated record. NCBI's taxonomy places the organism in Eukaryota, Viridiplantae, Streptophyta, Magnoliopsida, Solanales, Solanaceae. The transcript has 4 exons.
UCCAUUCAGAAAAGAAAAAGAGGUGGAACACAAAUGCAAAGUGUACAUGGACGGAGUGAGCGCAAAAUGAUCGUACUAAAUGAGUUGCACCAACCCAUUGGUCCUACUGAAGCAAUUGUUAAAGAGUUGGGUAGCUUCCUCGGCACAUUGGCAAGGAAUGGGACCUUUUGUCCUCUUAAUGUGUUUAAGUGGAAGAAAUUGAAGACACAUGAUGAUAUGUGGAACUAUACCUUGGAGAAAUAUGACAUUCCUAAAGUAGCGAAAGAAUGGACUUUGCGAACAAUUCAAAUUGCUUGGAGAAAGUAUAAGAAUGGGUUGAAGAAGAAACACUACUAUCGCUACGCCAAUGACGAACUUUGAAUGGCAAAAAGGCCUAAAGAAGUUUCAGAAUCUCAAUUUAAGGCUCUCCUCGAAUAUUGGAACUCCGAUGCGGCUCAAGACAUGUCCAGAAAAAAUUCAGAGAAUCGAAAAAAGUUGAGGUAUGCACACACUGUUGGCAAAACAAGUUUUGCUAUAAUCCGUGAGGUUUGGUGUUUUCUUGUAUUGUUCAUUUACUAUGAACUUGUUGACUUUACUUGGGAAGAUUUUUAUGCUAUCUUUUAUCUAACUAAAAAAAAAAAAGAAGGAAAAUCCUGAAGCUUUGUCAAGUAAGGAGUUUUUUGUGGCUACUAGAAGAAGGAAACCAGGCCGAUUAUACAAGGACUCAUAUGCAGAUACGACUAGCAAAAUAGUACGAAAUUUUCUAUUUAAAGGUUUAUCGAUAUCAUUUGCUUGUUCUUAAAUAUUGGAUUAGUUUCAUUUACUUGAACUCCCUUCUCUUCAAUCUGAUUUGGAGGCUGAAAUGGAGAGAAUAGAAACUCAAGAAAGUGAAGAUGACAGUCAAUCAGUUGACGCUUAUGUAUCAGUAAUGGGACCUGAUCAUCCAGGUCGAGUAAGAUUGUAUAGACGUGGGGUUACCAAGACUCUCUUGAAAUAGAAAGCAGCAGAUUCUAGACCCUCUUCAAAUGUUACUGAUGAUAUGGAGAAAAAAUGGAGGAGAUAGAAGAGAGGAUGCAACAACGAAUGCAGGAAAAAUUCAAUGCUCAAAAGGAUACCAUGGAAAAAGAUAUUACAAUGAAAGUCAUUGCAAAAAUUCAGCAGCUAAAUCCAGAAUUCCAACUUGAUCCUAAUAUGUUAAGGUUCAGUGUUCGUUUGCCAGGAGAAGCUUCUUCAGCACCUGGUAACAAUCAAGGUGUCGAAAAUGAAGAAAGGGAAGGAGAUAGUGAAGACAUUGAUCUUACUUGAGAAGAUCUUUUAUGAAGAUUUCUACAUGUUCUAAGAAUCUUUUUGCUAUCGAACAUUUUGAAAGUUAUCCUAAAUCUUGAAAUGUAAAACUUAAUUAUGCAUUUUGGGUUGAACAUUUUGCUUUUACGGGUAUAUAUGUUGGAUUAGGAAUGUUGGAUAUUUUGGAUUAUGAAAAAUUGUGUUUUCUGGUUUA